UACAGAGGGUGCGAGCGUUGUCCGGAAUCACUGGGCGUAAAGGGCGCGUAGGCGGCCUGAUAAGUAGGGGGUGAAAUCCUGUGGCUCAACUGCAGGGCUGCCUCCUAGACUGUCGGGCUUGAGCACGGUAGAGGCAGAUGGAAUUCCCGGUGUAGCGGUGGAAUGCGUAGAGAUCGGGAGGAACACCCGUGGCGAAGGCGGCCACCUGGGCCGACCCUGACGCUGAGGCGCGAAGGCGUGGGGAGCGAACGGG
This 253-nucleotide ribosomal RNA is filed under the name uncultured bacterium. RNAcentral describes it as "partial 16S ribosomal RNA". It matches the Rfam family "Bacterial small subunit ribosomal RNA", at positions 524 to 776 of the family's 1533-position model. The record is from RNAcentral.